AAAAAUAUCUAAGAUUUUAUUAGCAAAUAGCAUUAAAAUAUUUAUAAAGUGUUAGAUUUUUAUUGUAUAAGUUAGAUUUUUUAAUAGAUAAUCCAUGUAUAUAUAUAAGGAUAUGCUUGUGGUUUGGUAAUUUCCCUAUCUUCUCUCCCCUGCGUCUUUUCUCUUCUCUCCAUCUUCACCACUCAUCGAUUUACUGCAGCCAUCAAGUGCUAGGAGCGGCGCAUCCAAGGCUCGAGGAGGACAACCGAAGCAAGCUUGAAGAGGUUUGAAUUCAAUCACUUAAGGUUAAGGAGUUGACGGCAAGACGGCAGACAUGGAGCUCCACAUUCUCCCGUUCUAUUAUAUGAUGAAGUAUUAUAUGUUGCUGUUUUUGGUAAAUAUAUCUUGCUACUAACCAACUUAGCCUCUUCCAAUUUUGGUGGGUCGAGACUUUAUAUAUAUUGGUUUAUGAUCAUGCAUUUUGAUGACGGCUGUGACCGAAUAUAUAUAUUUUGUUUACCAUAUGUGUAGUUACGAGCUGUGCCUCGAACACGUUAAUUAUACUUUUAAACUUGAUGGUUUUGUAUGUACUCCAUCUUUUUAUAUAUAUAAAUAUGAUGCUUAGAUAAA
Molecule: long non-coding RNA, 609 nt
Organism: Salvia miltiorrhiza (redroot sage)
Lineage: Eukaryota; Viridiplantae; Streptophyta; Magnoliopsida; Lamiales; Lamiaceae
Exons: 3
Source: RefSeq, a predicted model, not a curated record